GGCUGAGACACACUCGUGGGCU
Molecule: unclassified non-coding RNA, 22 nt
Filed under: Chlamydomonas reinhardtii
Lineage: Eukaryota; Viridiplantae; Chlorophyta; Chlorophyceae; Chlamydomonadales; Chlamydomonadaceae
Description: small RNA Cre_1873
Source: RNAcentral